Molecule: ribosomal RNA, 424 nt
Filed under: uncultured bacterium
Lineage: Bacteria
Description: bacterial SSU rRNA
Rfam family: Bacterial small subunit ribosomal RNA
Source: RNAcentral
AAAGACCUUGCGCCGAUGGAUGAGCCGAAGUCGGAUUAGCUAGUUGGUAGGGUAACGGCCUACCAAGGCGACGAUCAGUAGCUGGUCUGAGAGGACGACCAGCCACACUGGGACUGAGACACGGCCCAGACUCCUACGGGAGGCAGCAGUGGGGAAUUUUGGACAAUGGGGGCAACCCUGAUCCAGCAAUGCCGCGUGUGUGAAGAAGGCCUUCGGGUUGUAAAGCACUUUUGUCAGGAACGAAACGGACUAGGCUAAUACCUUGGUCUAAUGACGGUACCUGAAGAAUAAGCACCGGCUAACUACGUGCCAGCAGCCGCGGUAAUACGUAGGGUGCAAGCGUUAAUCGGAAUUACUGGGCGUAAAGCGUGCGCAGGCGGUUUUGUAAGUCUGACGUGAAAUCCCCGGGCUUAACCUGGGAAUG